CCUUUCUCAGUCUUCAAAACCAUGGCGGCCUUGAAGCUC
Molecule: transfer RNA, 39 nt
Filed under: Togula jolla
Lineage: Eukaryota; Dinophyceae; Gymnodiniales; Gymnodiniaceae
Description: partial Selenocysteine transfer RNA
Source: RNAcentral